RNAcentral lists this long non-coding RNA (802 nucleotides) under Capra hircus (goat). RNAcentral's name for it is "lncRNA (ENSCHIG00010025457.1)". Lineage: Eukaryota; Metazoa; Chordata; Mammalia; Artiodactyla; Bovidae. The record is from RNAcentral.
CCCUCCCCUUGUAAACGUGGUCUAAUCAUGCAAACAGUUGAUUGAACAUAAUUGAUUGAUCCUCCUGUAAGAGUUGCCUGCUGUUUUAUCACAUUGCAUCAGACGUGAAGGCAGAUGUCUCAAACUGACUGAAGCUAAAAGAGUUAGACUAGAAAGCAAAUGCUGGAUGACGUCUUUUUUCAAAUGCAGGUGUGGUGACAGCGUCUGGGGAUAAAGAGGAGAGCCGGAUUAGCUCGAUGCACUGGAGCAGGCAGACACACGGCUUCCAGUAGAGACAGGAGGGCACUGGAUCUAUGGAAGGACAGGGAGUGAGGAAGGCCUCUGAUAGAAUAGAAGAAAAACACCCUGAUGAAAUGCUUAAAAGUCCAUUCCUGUGCUAAAAUAUAUAUAUAGAACAGUCUGGCAACACAUGGAACCCUCUCACCUGUACCCCCUGCAUUGGAAGGCGAAGUCUUAACCCCUGGGCGACCAAGGGAGCCUCAAGAUCAUUUCAACUUUUUAAAACUUUCUGUAAUAUUUUCCCAUUUUAAGCUUAUUGAGAAAGUUCUAAGUCAACAUGGGAGGGAAUUUAGGAUGAAAGAGAAUUAGUUUGAAAACAGAAAGGAAGUAAAACACUAGAGGUUUAUUUUUUGUUAGCUCUUAUAUAAAAUGAGAGCAGGUGGCACAUACCCAAUAUACUCCACGCUGUAUUAAUAGAAGUAGUAUAUGUAGUUUGCAUUGGUCAGCGUCCAUGUGGAUUAUUGUACAAAUUCAAUAUGCCAAAGCCUUUGACUGUGUGGAUCACAAUAAACUGUGGAAAAUU